Molecule: ribosomal RNA, 253 nt
Filed under: uncultured bacterium
Lineage: Bacteria
Description: partial 16S ribosomal RNA
Rfam family: Bacterial small subunit ribosomal RNA
Source: RNAcentral
UACAGAGGGGGCAAGCGUUGUUCGGAAUUACUGGGCGUAAAGGGCGCGUAGGCGGCCUUCUAAGUCGAACGUGAAAUCCCUGGGCUCAACCCAGGAACUGCGUCUGAUACUGGAUGGCUUGAAUCCGGGAGAGGGAUGCAGAAUUCCAGGUGUAGCGGUGAAAUGCGUAGAUAUCUGGAGGAAUACCGGUGGCGAAGGCGGCAUCCUGGACCGGCAUUGACGCUGAUGAGCGAAAGCCAGGGGAGCAAACGGG